GACGAACGCUGGCGGCGUGCUUAACACAUGCAAGUCGAACGGAAAGGCCUGCUUUCCCUUGUGUAUUGCGGGUGCUCGAGUGGCGAACGGGUGAGUAACACGUGAGUGAUCUGCCCCCAACUUGGGUAUAAGCCUGGGAAACUGGGUCUAAUUCCCGAUAGGACUGCAGGGGGGUUCCUGUGGUGGAAAACGAUUUUCUAGUGAUUGGGGAUGAGCUCGCGGCCUAUCAGCUUGUUGGUGGGGUAAGGGCCUACCAAGGCGGCGACGGGUAGCCGGCCUGGGAGGGUGUCCGCCCCCAUUGGGCUUGAGCAACGGCCAAGCUCCUUACGGGAGGCAGAAGUGGGGAAAAUUGCCAAAGGGGGGGAAGCCUGAUGCAGCGAGGCGGGGUGGGGGAUGCCGGCCUUUGGGUUGUAAACUCCUUUUGUCCGCGAGGAAGCUUACUGGUUGGAAGGGUGGUGACGGUAGUGGUAGAAGAAGCACCGGCUAAGUCCGUG
Molecule: ribosomal RNA, 494 nt
Filed under: uncultured bacterium
Lineage: Bacteria
Description: partial 16S ribosomal RNA
Rfam family: Bacterial small subunit ribosomal RNA
Source: RNAcentral